RNAcentral lists this ribosomal RNA (438 nucleotides) under uncultured bacterium. RNAcentral's name for it is "partial 16S ribosomal RNA". It matches the Rfam family "Bacterial small subunit ribosomal RNA", at positions 339 to 795 of the family's 1533-position model. The record is from RNAcentral.
CUACGGGCUGCACCAGUGAGGAAUAUUGCACAAUGGGGGGAACCCUGAUGCAGCAACGCCGCGUGGAGGAUGACGCAUUUCGGUGUGUAAACUCCUUUUAUAUGUCAAGAAAAUGACGGUAGCAUAUGAAUAAGCACCGGCUAACUCCGUGCCAGCAGCCGCGGUAAUACGGAGGUGCAAGCGUUACUCGGAAUCACUGGGCGUAAAGGACGCGUAGGCGGGCUUGUAAGUCAGGUGUGAAAUCCUACAGCUUAACUGUAGAACUGCACUUGAAACUACGAGCCUAGAGUAUGGGAGGGGGAGAUGGAAUUAGUGGUGUAGGGGUAAAAUCCGUAGAUAUCACUAGGAAUACCUAAAGCGAAGGCGAUCUCCUGGAACAUAACUGACGCUAAGGCGUGAAAGCGUGGGGAGCAAACAGGAUUAGAUACCCCCGUAGUC